Molecule: ribosomal RNA, 458 nt
Filed under: uncultured bacterium
Lineage: Bacteria
Description: SSU rRNA
Rfam family: Bacterial small subunit ribosomal RNA
Source: RNAcentral
AGAAUCAACGCUGGCGGCGUGCCUAACACAUGCAAGUCGAACGAGAAAGUGGAGCAAUCCAUGAGUAAAGUGGCGACCGGGUGAGUAACACGUGACUAACCUACCUUCGAGUGGGGGAUAACCUCGGGAAACCGAGGCUAAUACCGCAUAACAUCGCAAGAUCAAAGCAGCAAUGCGCUGGAAGAGGGGGUCGCGGCUGAUUAGCUAGUUGGCGGGGUAACGCCCACAAGGCGAAGAUCGGUAGCCGGCCUGAGAGGGCGCACGGCCGACACUGGAACUGAAACACGGUCCAGACUCCUACGGGAGGCAGCAGUGGGGAAUUUGCGCAAUGGGGGAAACCCUGACGCAGCAACGCCGCGUGGAGGAUGAAGCCCCUUGGGGCGUAAACUCCUUUCGACCAAGACGAUAAUGACGGUACUGGUGGAAGAAGCACCGGCUAACUCUGUGCCAGCAGCCGC